RNAcentral lists this ribosomal RNA (384 nucleotides) under uncultured bacterium. RNAcentral describes it as "bacterial SSU rRNA". It matches the Rfam family "Bacterial small subunit ribosomal RNA", at positions 29 to 417 of the family's 1533-position model. The record is from RNAcentral.
AGCGAACGUUUGCGGCGGGCCUAACACAUGCAAGUCGAACGCACUAGCAAUAGUGAGUGGCGCACGGGUGCGUAACACGUGGGUAAUCAACCCUUCAGCUUGGGAUAACGACUUGAAAGGGUCGCUAAUACCGGAUACGGCGCGGGAGGCUUCGGCUUCUCACGAGAAAGCCUCGCAAGGGGCACUGAAGGACGAGCCUGCGGCCCAUCAGCUAGUUGGUGAGGUAAGAGCUCACCAAGGCGAAGACGGGUAGCUGGUCUGAGAGGAUGAUCAGCCACACUGGAACUGAGACACGGUCCAGACUCCUACGGGAGGCAGCAGUGGGGAAUAUUGCGCAAUGGGCGAAAGCCUGACGCAGCCACGCCGCGUGAGCGAUGAAGGCCU